CUGCGGAAGGAUCAUUGUUGAACCCUGCGAUAGCAGAACGACCCGCUAACAUGUUAAAACAUCGGGCAAGCUCAUGGGGAUUCCUUCCCAUGUUGGCGAACCCCAGGUAGGUGGCCGCCCUCGGGUGGCCAUCGGCCUACAAAAUAAUUCGGGCGUGGAAUGCGCCAAGGAAAUUAAAACUGAAUUGAUGACCACUUUCCGAUAGUCGGGCUGUGGCGUCAUUCUAAAACACAAACGACUCUCGACAACGGAUAUCUCGGCUCUCGCAUCGAUGAAGAACGUAGCGAAAUGCGAUACUUGGUGUGAAUUGCAGAAUCCCGUGAACCAUCGAGUCUUUGAACGCAAGUUGCGCCCGAAGCCAUUAGGUUGAGGGCACGUCUGCCUGGGUGUCACGUAUCGUGUUGCCCCCAACCACUCACUCCUCUGGGAGCUAUUCCGGUUUAGGGGCGGAAAUUGGCCUCCCGUACCUUGCGGUGCGGAUGGCACAAAAGUGAGUCUCCGAUGACGGACGUCGUGACAUUGGUGGUUGUUAAAAGAACUUCUUGUCUUGUCACGUGAAUCCCCGUCAUCUUAUGGAGAUCUAUGAUCCUUAAGCGACACACAUUGUGUGCGCUCCAAAUGUGACCCCAGGUCAGGCGGGACUACCCGC
Molecule: ribosomal RNA, 649 nt
Filed under: Carum carvi
Lineage: Eukaryota; Viridiplantae; Streptophyta; Magnoliopsida; Apiales; Apiaceae
Description: eukaryotic LSU rRNA
Rfam family: 5.8S ribosomal RNA (bases 237-392)
Source: RNAcentral